Molecule: ribosomal RNA, 392 nt
Filed under: uncultured bacterium
Lineage: Bacteria
Description: bacterial SSU rRNA
Rfam family: Bacterial small subunit ribosomal RNA
Source: RNAcentral
AUUGAACGCUGGCGGCAUGCCUAACACAUGCAAGUCGAACGGCAGCACGGCAGUAGCAAUACUGUGGGUGGCGAGUGGCGGACGGGUGAGGAAUACGUCGGAAUCUGCCCAGUCGUGGGGGAUAACUAGCCGAAAGGUUAGCUAAUACCGCAUACGACCGAGAGGUGAAAGCGGGGGACCGCAAGGCCUCGCGCGAUUGGAUGAGCCGACGUCGGAUUAGCUAGUUGGUGGGGUAAAGGCCCACCAAGGCGACGAUCCGUAGCUGGUCUGAGAGGAUGAUCAGCCACACUGGAACUGAGACACGGUCCAGACUCCUACGGGAGGCAGCAGUGGGGAAUAUUGGACAAUGGGCGCAAGCCUGAUCCAGCAAUGCCGCGUGUGUGAAGAAGGCC